GACGAACGCUGGCGGCGUGCUUAACACAUGCAAGUCGAACGGAAAGGCCCUGCUUUUGUGGGGUGCUCGAGUGGCGAACGGGUGAGUAACACGUGAGUAACCUGCCCUUGACUUUGGGAUAACUUCAGGAAACUGGGGCUAAUACCGGAUAGGAGCUCCUGCUGCAUGGCGGGGGUUGGAAAUUUUCGGCGGUUGGGGAUGGACUCGCGGCUUAUCAGCUUGUUGGUGGGGUAGUGGCUUACCAAGGCUUUGACGGGUAGCCGGCCUGAGAGGGUGACCGGCCACAUUGGGACUGAGAUACGGCCCAGACUCCUACGGGAGGCAGCAGUGGGGAAUAUUGCACAAUGGGCGGAAGCCUGAUGCAGCAACGCCGCGUGCGGGAUGACGGCCUUCGGGUUGUAAACCGCUUUCGCCUGUGACGAAGCGUGAGUGACGGUAAUGGGUAAAGAAGCACCGGCUAACUACGUG
This 468-nucleotide ribosomal RNA is filed under the name uncultured bacterium. RNAcentral describes it as "partial 16S ribosomal RNA". It matches the Rfam family "Bacterial small subunit ribosomal RNA", at positions 28 to 507 of the family's 1533-position model. The record is from RNAcentral.